This is a long non-coding RNA of Raphanus sativus (radish), 894 nucleotides long. RefSeq lists it as uncharacterized. Lineage: Eukaryota; Viridiplantae; Streptophyta; Magnoliopsida; Brassicales; Brassicaceae. The record is from RefSeq and is a predicted model, not a curated record. The transcript has 2 exons.
UACUAUAAAAGAGAGUUGGUUCUCUCCUGCUGACACGUCAGAUUCCACAUAAGAAAUUCGCUUGAUAUCGCGCUGACACGUGUUCAGUGCGUACGAAACUAGGCGUUUCUGCGAUGGCUAUUCAUGCCGUUUGGGUUUCCUCACUCUCCACAAAACGGACGGAGUUGCAAUCUCUUCAAUGCAUUGUUCGUCGCUUGGACUCGAUGUGAGAUCGAUAUAAAUAGGGGAGUACUCCUCCAAUCAACGCAUCGUCUAAUUCUCUCUCUAUCAAAUUUCUGAUUCGUGUGGUUAUGACUAUUUCAAGAGUUUUGAUUUUUAUUUUCUUUAGAUCUGUGUUUAAUCAUUCCGGCGAGUUUGUUUUGUUUACUGAUGAAGAUUUAUCUCUUUUCUGUUUUCAGUUGACGGAGUUAUGAGCACUUCUCCCAUCGGAAUCACAUCAAAAGAAUCGGUUCCUGCUAGGUUUCUAUAGCAUUGAAGAUGAGGCUGUGCACAUGGUCGCUGGGAAAGGUCGAUUAGAUGUGGGCUUGGCUCAUCGGAAAUAUUGAGUUUGCAUUUGGUAAAAGCGGAGUAUUCCUCGGAGACGUGCGAGACUUGGGUUCAUGUAGCUGCCAUAAAUCAGACGUUGAACCCUAAAUUUUCAACCAUUGCUAUAAAAACAAUGGCUUUGUUCUCCGCACCUUACAUCACGAAUAAGACAUGAGUCUUCUGGUAUUUGGACGAAUUUGAGAUCCAUGAGGCACUCAAUGCUGCUCAAGUCUUAGAGAGAAUUAGACAGAUUAUGUUGGAUGUCAUGUCUUCGUGGUAUAAGAAAAAUACUCUCAAAGCAAGACAGACAUUAUGAGUUGUUAUGUUAUAGUUUCUUACUGAUAUAAGAAGAGAAGUUAUGAUGGGACA